This is a long non-coding RNA of Gallus gallus (chicken), 1998 nucleotides long. Lineage: Eukaryota; Metazoa; Chordata; Aves; Galliformes; Phasianidae. The record is from Ensembl.
CUUGUUCCUCAUUCAUAAGUUGACUUGCCAACAAGAGAGUCAGGGAGUGAGAAGCAAAACUCACUUGUCUUUUAAUAGUCCCAUAUGUCCAAUGCGUAAAGCCAGUGGAGAAUGGAGGUUGAUGGUAGACUACCAUGGCCUGGCCUGAAUGAAGUCACACCCAAACUGAGUACUGCUGUGCUGGACAUGCUAGAACUCCAGUAUGAAUUGGAGUCAACAGCAGCCAAGUGGUAUGCCACCACUGACAUUGCUAAUGCCUUCUUCUUCAUUCCUUUGGCCACAGAAUGCAGGCCACAAUUUGCCUUCACCUGGAGGGGUAUUCAGUAUACCUGGAAUUGCUUGCCCCAGGGGUGAAAACACAGCCCAACAAUUUGUCAUGGGUUGAUCCAAGCUGUACUGGAACAGGGUGAUGCUCCUGAGCACUUACAGUAUAUUGAUGACAUUUUGUGGAACAACACAGCAGGGGAAGUUUUUUUUAAGAAAGGUGUUGUAGUAGGCGUCUUGCGGGGGCACGGGAUGUACGGGACAGGCCUCUCCCUAAACAUAGAGAGACAGUGCUAUCGUGCUGACCUUGUUGCAGAGAAAACAGGAGAAGAAGAAGGAUGAUAAAAGAAUGUGGAAACGGCCAAAUAAGGCACAAUGUUAUCUGGUGUGAACCAAUCAGAGUGGGACAUGACAGCACGGUUAUCUAGGUAAAAAUGUAUAUAAGCUGUGUUUAGUAGUGAAUAAACGCCAUUUUGCCUCACUUACUUCUGGGGUCUGCGUGAGCAUCUGGCCCCGACCUGGUAAAGGGUCGGUUUCGCCCAGCAGUAAGCCCUACACGUGGACAGAGGACGAACACCGGACGAGCAAACAGAGACUACACGCAACAAGUGGUGACCCCGACGUGAUCUGUCUGCUGAGGGUGGCUGCCCGGCGUGCCCGUGACGCGGAGAAGAGCCUGUGAGGUGGCGGCAGGUCGCAUGCGUAACAAUGGACCAAGUCAUUAAGACCGAAGCCAACUCCAGAACAACUGAGGGACAGACGAUGGGAUCAAGAACCACUCGUCAAGAGGAGCACUACACCUGCAACGCUGACACUUCCGAUGUUGCUGAUAUUUAUGGUGUCCAUGGCGAUUACAGAGUGUCACAAACAACUACAAUGGACACAAGAACAUAUGCAGAAAAUUAAAGAAGAGCGUGAUCCCUUUGGAAGCUGGCUGGACGGACUGUUUGGGGGAACGGGUUCAUGGUUAAAGCAAUUGCUUAAAGCUCUCGCAGUAGGAUUUGUAAUCUUUGUGUGUAUUCUAAUCUGUCUUCCAUGCUUUGUAGGAUGCUUGCAGAACUGCCUUCAACGAAUGAUGGACAAGACUUUUGACUAUCACAUUGAGUAUCAUAGAUUGCGUGAAAAAUUAUAGAGGGGUUUAGGUUGUUGCGUUCGUGCUGUAACGGGGCAAGGCUUGGCCGAGCACGGAAAAGAAUUCCCUGUUGCUCUGAUGAUUGCUUAAGAACUGUAGUAGAAAAUAGUAGGAAUAGUGUGCUGAAAUAUAUUUAGGAUUAGGCGUUUUGCGCUGCUUCGCGAUGUACGGGUUAGGUGUGUGUGUAAGUAGUAUUUAGCUUAGGAAGGGGGAGAUGUUGUAGUAGGCGUCUUGCGGGGGCACGGGAUGUACGGGACAGGCCUCUCCCUAAACAUAGAGAGACAGUGCUAUCGUGCUGACCUUGUUGCAGAGAAAACAGGAGAAGAAGAAGGAUGAUAAAAGAAUGUGGAAACGGCCAAAUAAGGCACAAUGUUAUCUGGUGUGAACCAAUCAGAGUGGGACAUGACAGCACGGUUAUCUAGGUAAAAAUGUAUAUAAGCUGUGUUUAGAAGUGAAUAAACGCCAUUUUGCCUCACUUACUUCUGGGGUCUGCGUGAGCAUCUGGCCCCGACCUGGUAAAGGGUCGGUUUCGCCCAGCAGUAAGCCCUACACGUGGACAGAGGACGAACACCGGACGAGCGAACGGAGACUACACGCAACAA